This is a long non-coding RNA of Fukomys damarensis (Damara mole-rat), 498 nucleotides long. RefSeq lists it as uncharacterized. Lineage: Eukaryota; Metazoa; Chordata; Mammalia; Rodentia; Bathyergidae. The record is from RefSeq and is a predicted model, not a curated record. The transcript is spliced from 4 exons.
CACCAUGCCCAGAAACCACCAUCCACUUUUAUAAUUUAUUUUGGUGGCACUGGGAAUUUCACCUUGCUCAUGUUAGACUCAAGGAGGAAGAGUGAGGUGUACAGACAAUGGAGCCCAACUGUGGGUGUCACCUCAUCACUAUACAGCCCUGAGCAACAAGCUGAACUUCUCUGCGCAUGGUUUAAGAUGGAAAUUAUGAGUUCUCCAGAGCUCAGGGCAGCGCCAGGCCAACAGUGGCACCUAGUCUGGCCAGAUGGAUGAAGGCAGGUGAAAGAGGUCUGAUGGCAGUUUGAGGCUUAGCCAGUGGACACCAGGCAUAGGGACCGCAGGAAAGGUGAAAGUGGACGCUGAACACCUGGCUGGAAGCCCCAAGACCCAUCAGAGUUCUCUUCAGUUCGCCUCCCCCUCCCAGGAAACCUUUUUCGGAGAAUUUCUAAGGGGACCUCAGCCAGGCAGAGGGGGUAUGGGUCCUGCCCACCACGCUCAGGAGGAGGUGAG